Molecule: ribosomal RNA, 208 nt
Filed under: uncultured bacterium
Lineage: Bacteria
Description: partial 16S ribosomal RNA
Rfam family: Bacterial small subunit ribosomal RNA
Source: RNAcentral
CGGAUUGCAGGCUGAAACCCGCCUGUAUGAAGUUGGAANCGCUAGUAAUCGCGGAUCAGCAUGCCGCGGUGAAUACGUUCCCGGGCCUUGUACACACCGCCCGUCACACCAUGAGAGUCGGGAACACCCGAAGUCCGUAGUCUAACCGCAAGGGGGGACGCGGCCGAAGGUGGGUUCGAUAAUUGGGGUGAAGUCGUAACAAGGUAAC